AAAAAUAAUAAGCUUACCGCAUUUGUGCUUCUUUCUUUUGGUUUAAGUUGGUUCCAUAUUCUUGAUUUCCUGCAUUCUGGUGUUAAAGGUGAGAUGUUGACUAUAAGAAGUGAAAUUAGAGCUUGAUUACACCCGCAACCUUAUCAGCUUGAUGGUAGGUGAAUCUCUCAACUAGGAUGACAACCUAGGAUAAGAUUCCUCUCUCCCUAAUGUGUAAACCACUAAAACAUAGAGCUUGAUCAGCCAUACAUGAUAUCUUUUCUUUUUCUUUAUGAUU
This 277-nucleotide unclassified non-coding RNA is filed under the name Hevea brasiliensis (rubber tree). Lineage: Eukaryota; Viridiplantae; Streptophyta; Magnoliopsida; Malpighiales; Euphorbiaceae. The record is from RNAcentral.